GCAUGACACUGCAUCUGAUUAUAUUUAAUAAUUAACUACUUAUGUAUAACGGAAAAGCAUUGGUCUUUUAUUCAUUUUGAAACUCUGAUAUAUAUAAAGCUUCGCUUCAAUAACUUUGGCCUCUGAUAUCUCUUGGGAAUCUACUAAAAGCACUAUCAACCUCCAAGUCUACAAAACAUUAGGACAUCAUGAAAGUGUUAAUAAUCUUAGUCUGUCUGUCUGUUUUGAUGAAUGGCAUUAUGAUGGAUGAUCCCAUUGCGUUACCAAGAGGAAUUGAAAUUCGUGAUGAUCCCAUUGCGUUACCAAGAGGAAUUGAAAUUCGUGAUGGUCCCAUUGCGUUACCAAGAGGAAUUGAAAUUCGUGAUGGUCCCAUUGCGUUACCAAGAGGAAUUGAAAUUCGUGAUGAUCCCAUUGCGUUACCAAAAGGAAUUGAAAUUCGUGAUGGUCCCAUUGCGUUACCAAGAGGAAUUGAAAUUCGUGAUCAUCCCAUUGCGUUACCAAGAGGAAUUGAAAUUCGUGAUGAUCCCAUUGCGUUACCAAGAGGAAUUGAAAUUCGUGAUCAUCCAAUUGCGUUACCAAGAGGAAUUGAAAUUCGUGAUGAUCCCAUUGCAUUACCAAGAGGAAUUGAAAUUCGUAGGAACCUCCUUAGAAAGGUAGUAGAUAAUUGGUCUGGUAAAAGAGCAGAGGCUGAGGUUAGAGCUACUCCCAGGAAAACAAUUCUAUUUUAAGAAAAAUGAUUGAAAAAAACAACAAGACACACAUGUAUCUAUGUCUGAAGUGAUGUUUGCAGGGUCAACCAGUACAAAAUUACGUUUUGAGACUAGGCUUUUAAAGAAUACUUUACUUUCUAAUUUAAUUAUUUCUUUUGGGUUUUAUUAAAGUUAGAUUUGAAAAUA
Long non-coding RNA from Biomphalaria glabrata, 896 nucleotides. RefSeq lists it as uncharacterized. NCBI's taxonomy places the organism in Eukaryota, Metazoa, Mollusca, Gastropoda, Planorbidae. The transcript has 3 exons. The record is from RefSeq and is a predicted model, not a curated record.